GAUGAACGCUAGCGGCAGGCUUAACACAUGCAAGUCGAGGGGCAGCGAGGGUAGCAAUACCUGUCGGCGACCGGCAAACGGGUGCGGAACACGUACACAAUCUGCCUCUGUCUGGGGCAUAGCCCGAAGAAAUUCGGAUUAAUUCCCCAUAAGAUAUUAGGGUGGCAUCACCUAUAUAUUAAAGAGUUUCGGACAGAGAUGAGUGUGCGUCCCAUUAGCUAGUUGGUAGGGUAACGGCCUACCAAGGCGACGAUGGGUAGCUGGUGUGAGAGCACGACCAGCCACACGGGCACUGAGACACGGGCCCGACUCCUACGGUAGGCAGCAGUGAGGAAUAUUGGUCAAUGGACGCAAGUCUGAACCAGCCAUGCCGCGUGAAGGAUGAAGGCCUUCUGGGUUGUAAACUUCUUUUAUCUGGGAAGAAAAGCACUGUUUCUACGGUGUCCGACGGUACCAGAGGAAUAAGCACCGGCUAACUCCGUGCCAGCCGCCGCAGUAACAC
This 502-nucleotide ribosomal RNA is filed under the name uncultured bacterium. Its description in RNAcentral is "bacterial SSU rRNA". It matches the Rfam family "Bacterial small subunit ribosomal RNA", at positions 28 to 526 of the family's 1533-position model. The record is from RNAcentral.